Molecule: ribosomal RNA, 370 nt
Filed under: uncultured bacterium
Lineage: Bacteria
Description: bacterial SSU rRNA
Rfam family: Bacterial small subunit ribosomal RNA
Source: RNAcentral
AACGAACGCUGGCGGCAGGCCUAAAACAUGCAAGUCGAGCGGGCAUAGCAAUAUGUCAGCGGCGGACGGGUGAAUAACACGUGGGAACAUGCCCUUUGGUACGGAACAACUCAGGGAAACUUGAGCUAAUACCGUAUGUGCCGGUAACGGGAAAGAUUUAUCGCCAAAGGAUUGGCCCGCGUCCGAUUAGCUAGUUGGUGAGGUAACGGCUCACCAAGGCGACGAUCGGUAGCUGGUUUGAGAGAACGAUCAGCCACACUGGGACUGAGACACGGCCCAGACUCCUACGGGAGGCAGCAGUUGGGAAUCUUGGACAAUGGGGGAAACCCUGAUCCAGCCAUGCCGCGUGAGCGAUGAAGGCCUUCGGUUG